Molecule: long non-coding RNA, 481 nt
Filed under: Myripristis murdjan (pinecone soldierfish)
Lineage: Eukaryota; Metazoa; Chordata; Actinopteri; Holocentriformes; Holocentridae
Description: lncRNA (ENSMMDG00005007593.1)
Source: RNAcentral
CGCAGGCGUGCCGGCGCGGUGACGCAACCGGCGUGCCACCGAGGGGGCGGGGCCAGUCACUGCAGCUACAGCGCGUGAAAGAGAGCGAGAGAGGGAGGGAGAGAGGGAGAGCAGUUAACUGACGCCCGCAUUACAACAGUUGUCUGGCUUCAAAAUGGAUAUUUAACAACAACAACACAAACCGACUGUGAAGAAGAGGCUGCUCUCACCAGAUUCCCUGUCCUUUCUGGACGCCUGUCUUCACUGGCCUGGAUCAGCUGUCCCUCCCGUCCCCCCCGGCCCAGCAGCAGACAAGAGGCGAGCCACUUUGUAGAGCAGCCGUGGAUCUGUGCAGAAAGAGGGGCGCGUCACAUGGGAGUGUGUGACUGUAUGUGUGUGUGAGUUUGUCUGUGUAUGUGUGUGUGAGUGUGUGUGUGUGUGUGUGUGUGUGUGUGUGUGUGUGUGUGUGUGGGUGUGGGUGUGCUCAGGCCUCCUGCCGUGG